RNAcentral lists this ribosomal RNA (429 nucleotides) under Gemmatimonadota bacterium. Its description in RNAcentral is "Gemmatimonadetes bacterium partial 16S ribosomal RNA". It matches the Rfam family "Bacterial small subunit ribosomal RNA", at positions 355 to 776 of the family's 1533-position model. The record is from RNAcentral. Lineage: Bacteria; Pseudomonadati; Gemmatimonadota.
UAGGGAAUCUUCGGCAAUGGACGAAAGUCUGACCGAGCAACGCCGCGUGAGUGAAGAAGGUUUUCGGAUCGUAAAACUCUGUUGUUAGAGAAGAACAAGGACGUUAGUAACUGAACGUCCCCUGACGGUAUCUAACCAGAAAGCCACGGCUAACUACGUGCCAGCAGCCGCGGUAAUACGUAGGUGGCAAGCGUUGUCCGGAUUUAUUGGGCGUAAAGCGAGCGCAGGCGGUUUCUUAAGUCUGCUGUGAAAGCCCCCGGCUCAACCGGGGAGGGUCAUUGGAAACUGGGAGACUUGAGUUCAGAAGAGGAGAGUGGAAUUCCAUGUGUAGCAGUGAAAUGCGUAGAUAUAUGGAGGAACACCAGUGGCGAAGGCGGCUCUCUGGUCUGUAACUGACGCUGAGGCUCGAAAGCGUGGGGAGCAAACAGG